RNAcentral lists this ribosomal RNA (243 nucleotides) under uncultured bacterium. RNAcentral describes it as "partial 16S ribosomal RNA". It matches the Rfam family "Bacterial small subunit ribosomal RNA", at positions 95 to 334 of the family's 1533-position model. The record is from RNAcentral.
CCGGCGCACGGGUGAGUAACACGUAUGCAAUCCACCUGUAACAGGGGGAUAACCCGGGGAAAUCCGGACUAAUACCCCAUAAUAUGGGCGCUCCGCAUGGAGAGCCCAUUAAAGAGAGCAAUUUUGGUUACAGACGAGCAUGCGCUCCAUUAGCCAGUUGGCGGGGUAACGGCCCACCAAAGCGACGAUGGAUAGGGGUUCUGAGAGGAAGGUCCCCCACAUUGGAACUGAGACACGGUCCAA